Molecule: ribosomal RNA, 182 nt
Filed under: uncultured bacterium
Lineage: Bacteria
Description: partial 16S ribosomal RNA
Rfam family: Bacterial small subunit ribosomal RNA
Source: RNAcentral
AUAAUAUGCUUUUAUCGCAUGGUAGAAGUAUCAAAGCUCCGGCGGUACAGGAUGGACCCGCGUCUGAUUAGCUAGUUGGUAAGGUAACGGCUUACCAAGGCGACGAUCAGUAGCCGACCUGAGAGGAUGAACGGCCACACUGGAACUGAGACACGGUCCAGACUCCUACGGGAGGCAGCAUG